CGUGCUUGAUAUAAAAAAAAUGCAAAGAAAAUCAACUCUGAUCCCAUCAUGCUGUAUGAGCAAUUUGGUGUCUUUCGCAGCUUUGUCAAGGCAUCACUGCAACAGGCAGGCAGUUACCCAAGCACACAGCUUCAGAGGUCAAUUCUCACUAACAGUUUGCUAUGUUUCCCUAGGGGGUUAAAAAAAUGUCAGGGAUCCUGCUCAUCGUGUGAGUCACACUAUGCAGGGGUAUGAAGGGACAGAGAACAAGGUAUGUGUGGAGGUGUCCGGGAGACUGGCAGAGGGUGGUGCAGACAGAACGGUAACAAGACAUUUCGUCUGGGGGCUGGUCGGGCAGGGAGUAAUUACACAGUGCCACAAAAGCCAGGCCUAAACCAACGAGUCAGGGACAGAGACAACAAAGGAACUCCUCCUUUUCCCUCGUGUACAGAAUGAAUUCACGGAGGAGAGGGACUAGAUUCAAGAAUAGACGGAGGCUGUGGCUGGGCUUGGACUGGGCCUAGAGAGCUUUGUUAUUUUUAUUUUUUGAGACAGAGUCUCUCUCUGUUGCCCAGGCUGGAGUGCAGUGACACAAUCUCUGCUCACUGCAACCUCUGCCUCCCAGCUUCAAGUGAUUCUCAUGUCUCAGACUCCCAAGUAGCUGGGACUACAGGUGUGCACCACCACGCCCGGCUAAUUUUUGUACUUUUAGUAGAGAUAGGGUUUCACCAUGUUGGCUAGACUGGUCUCCAACUCCUGACCUCAAGUGAUCCACACACCUCAGCUUCCCAAAGUGCUGGGAUUACAGGUGCCAGCCACUGUACCUGGCCCGGAGUGUUUUUCGGGAGGGUGAGGCAGGAGAAUCACUUGAACCUGGGAGGCGGAGGUUGCAGUGAGCCGAGAUUACACCACUGCACUCCAGCCUGGGACCAAGAAUACCCUAACAGGAUGUGCAAUCCAAUUUUUACGUUCUUACAUUUCCAACCUCACCUAUUACACAAGCAAUGAAAAGCCCAUACAUGGUCCUGUUACUAUGAAUACCAUCUUAACUUUCCAAGCCCCUUUAUGCAUCCAACGCAACCUGUUACUCAAACAGCUCCAUUCAGAUGGCUUGUCUGCUUCUCAGCGCCUCCAAAAAUCAUCACCUCUUCCCUGCUUAACAAACAGUCCAGGUUUUGUAAUGGCAAACAUACUCCCUGCAUGACCAUUCACCCCUGGACCCCCUGCGGCAGCGCCCCCACCACUAGUG
This 1228-nucleotide long non-coding RNA is filed under the name Pan troglodytes (chimpanzee). RNAcentral describes it as "long non-coding RNA NONPTRT000082". Lineage: Eukaryota; Metazoa; Chordata; Mammalia; Primates; Hominidae. The record is from RNAcentral.